GAUGAACGCUAGCGGGAGGCUUAACACAUGCAAGUCGAGGGGCAGCAUAGGGUAGCAAUACUCUGAUGGCGACCGGCAAACGAGUGAGUAACGCGUAUGCAACCUACCCUGUACAGGGGGAUAACCCGGAGAAAUUCGGACUAAUAUCCCGUAAUAAUAUCCGGAGGCAUCUUUGGAUAUUUAAAGUUCCGACGGUACGGGAUGGGCAUGCGUAACAUUAGCUGGUUGGUAAGGUAACGGCUUACCAAGGCUAUGAUGUUUAGGGGUCCUGAGAGGGUGGUCCCCCACACUGGUACUGAGACACGGACCAGACUCCUACGGGAGGCAGCAGUGAGGAAUAUUGGUCAAUGGGCGCAAGCCUGAACCAGCCAUCCCGCGUGCAGGAAGACGGCCCUAUGGGUUGUAAACUGCUUUUCCAGGGAGAGAAACUUACGCACGUGUUGCGUGACUGACGGUACCCUGGGAAUAAGCAUCGGCUAACUCCGUG
RNAcentral lists this ribosomal RNA (487 nucleotides) under uncultured bacterium. RNAcentral describes it as "bacterial SSU rRNA". It matches the Rfam family "Bacterial small subunit ribosomal RNA", at positions 28 to 507 of the family's 1533-position model. The record is from RNAcentral.